Molecule: long non-coding RNA, 529 nt
Filed under: Gopherus agassizii (Agassiz's desert tortoise)
Lineage: Eukaryota; Metazoa; Chordata; Testudines; Testudinidae
Description: lncRNA (ENSGAGG00000008679.1)
Source: RNAcentral
CAUUUGAAACCUUCUCUGCAUUUCUUCCUCCUCCUUCUCUUUCCCUUUCAGUCGCUCCACAUGUUCUCCCUUGCUGUAUAUCGGCUUUGCACCAUUUAAGUCAAUGGAGCUAUGCUAAUUUACAUCAGCUGAGGGUCUGGUCCAUAGUUGCUGGCCUUCCAGAGACCUGGUGCAGGACAUGCAGGUUGCCAGAUACUCGGCAACCAGGGGGACUACUGCAUGGACCCGCAAGAUGGAUUUGUCUGAGGUUUGCGAAGGUGGUAGGAUGGGAGCUUGCUAAGCUUUAGUCUGAAAUAGAUCCAAGUGGGCCUGUAUCCAACAUCGCUGUGAAUUUACUGUGUGACAAUAGGAAAUACUUUAAUACUCCACCACCAGGACUGUUAGAAUGAUGCCUUCUCCUUUAAAUAUUUGUUUCUUUUAAAGAGACGCAAUCAAAUUAAGAAUUAUGGGACCAACCCUUUGAGGAGGUGCAUCCCAUUUAAACCACUGAGAGUACUCAACACCACACAGGGAGGGCACAACGUCUUAC